This 815-nucleotide ribosomal RNA is filed under the name uncultured marine group I thaumarchaeote. Its description in RNAcentral is "SSU rRNA". It matches the Rfam family "Archaeal small subunit ribosomal RNA", at positions 23 to 845 of the family's 1478-position model. The record is from RNAcentral. Lineage: Archaea; Thermoproteati; Nitrososphaerota.
CUGACUGCUAUCGGAUGAUACUAAGCCAUGCGAGUCAUUGUAGCAAUACAAGGCAGACGGCUCAGUAACGCGUAGUCAACUACCCUAUGGACGGGAAUAACCUCGGGAAACUGAGUAUAAUGCCCGAUAGAACAUUAUGCCUGGAAGGGUUUAUGUUCCAAAUGAUUUAUCGCCAUAGGAUGGGACUGCGGCCUAUCAGCUUGUUGGUGAGGUAAUGGCCCACCAAGGCGAUUACAGGUACGGGCUCUGAGAGGAGAAGCCCGGAGAUGGGUACUGAGACACGGACCCAGGCCCUAUGGGGCGCAGCAGGCGAGAAAACUUUGCAAUGUGCGAAAGCACGACAAGGUUAAUCCGAGUGAUUUCUGCUAAAGAAAUCUUUUGCCAGUCAUAAAACCACUGGUGAAUAAGGGGUGGGCAAGUUCUGGUGUCAGCCGCCGCGGUAAAACCAGCACCUCAAGUGGUCAGGAUGAUUAUUGGGCCUAAAGCAUCCGUAGCCGGCUUUGUUAGUUUUCGGUUAAAUCCAUGUGCUCAACGCAUGGGCUGCCGAAAAUACUGCAUAGCUAGGGAGUGGGAGAGGUAGACGGUACUCAGUAGGUAGGGGUAAAAUCCUUUGAUCUAUUGAUGACCACCUGUGGCGAAGGCGGUCUACCAGAACACGUUCGACGGUGAGGGAUGGAAGCUGGGGGAGCAAACCGGAUUAGAUACCCGGGUAGUCCCAGCUGUAAACGAUGCAGACUCGAUGAUGCAUUGGCAUAAUAGCCAGUGCAGUGUCGCAGGGAAGCCGUUAAGUCUGCCGCCUGGGAAGUACGUACGCA